AGCAGCCGCGGUAAUUCCAGCUCCAAUAGCGUAUAUUAAAGUUGCUGCAGUUAAAAAGCUCGUAGUUGAAUUUCGGGAUCAAUAUGUUGGUCGUGCCUCGGUACGUACUAGCUUAUUGGUUUCUUCCUUCUGACGAACCAUAAUGUCAUCUAUUUGGUGUCGUGGGAAAUCAGGACUGUUACUUUGAAAAAAUUAGAGUGUUUAAAGCAGGCUCACGCUUGAAUACAUUAGCAUGGAAUAAUGAAAUAGGACGUUUGAUUCUAUUUUGUUGGUUUCUAGGAUCGACGUAAUGAUUAAUAGGGAUAGUUGGGGGCAUUAGUAUUCAAUUGUCAGAGGUGAAAUUCUUGGAUUUAUUGAAGACUAACUACUGCGAAAGCAUUUGCCAAGGAUGUUUUCAUUAAUCAAGAACGCAAGUUAGGGGAUCGAAGACGAUCAGAUACCGUCGUAGUCUUAACCAUAAACUAUGCCGACUAGGGAUCGGAUGAUGUUAAUUUUUUAAUGACUCAUUCGGCGCCUUACG
RNAcentral lists this ribosomal RNA (520 nucleotides) under uncultured Glomus. Its description in RNAcentral is "SSU rRNA". It matches the Rfam family "Eukaryotic small subunit ribosomal RNA", at positions 569 to 1092 of the family's 1831-position model. The record is from RNAcentral. Lineage: Eukaryota; Fungi; Glomeromycota; Glomeromycetes; Glomerales; Glomeraceae.